Molecule: ribosomal RNA, 207 nt
Filed under: uncultured bacterium
Lineage: Bacteria
Description: partial 16S ribosomal RNA
Rfam family: Bacterial small subunit ribosomal RNA
Source: RNAcentral
CGCGUAGGCGGACUGUCAAGCGUUUUGUGAAAGCCCUCGGCUCAACCGAGGAAUUGCUUGGCGAACUGGCAGUCUUGAGGCAGGUAGGGGCAAGUGGAACUCUUGGUGGAGCGGUGGAAUGCGUAGAUAUCAAGAGGAACGCCGGCGGCGAAGGCGACUUGCUGGGCCUGUCCUGACGCUGAGGCGCGAAAGCCAGGGGAGCGAACG